RNAcentral lists this long non-coding RNA (386 nucleotides) under Capsicum annuum. RNAcentral's name for it is "long non-coding RNA (CANN_LNC000281)". The record is from RNAcentral. Lineage: Eukaryota; Viridiplantae; Streptophyta; Magnoliopsida; Solanales; Solanaceae.
AUUGCUCGAGGAAUUGCAACUGCAUCAAGGUAGUGGGCAUUUUCAUUGUGCAGACAGCAAUCUUUGCCACUUAGCUUACAGCGAAAGAAUGGCUCCUUUUUGGAAUUAUAUUGACUGCUCCAUUUUGAAAAAAAAAAAAGAAAGAGUUCAUUACGAAAAGGAAUUAAGCUUCAGAUGGAGAUAAAAAGAGCUACAAAGAAUAGCUUUUGCUACCUCAGUUAACGCUAAGUCGAUAACAGUUUUCCUAUUUUAGGAUGAACAACCUGAGUUAAAUUGCCAAAACCAUAUUUUAAUCAAGAGAAGAUCAAUUUUAUGUUUGAGAAAAACUAUGCAUUGAAAUUUUUUACAUAGAACAAAAUUCAAGCUGUAUAAUGUUGCUGUAAUGU